GUCCACGCCGUAACGAUGGAUGCUAGUCGUCGCGGGUAUUGACCCCUGCGGCAACGCAGUUAACGCAUUAAGCAUCCCGCCUGGGGAGUACGGCCGCAAGGCUAAACUCAAAGGAAUUGACGGGGCCCGCACAAGCGGUGGAGCAUGUGGUUCAAUUCGACGCAACGCGCAGAACCUUACCUGGGUUAAAUCCACCGGAAUCCCGCAGAGAUGUGGGAGUGCCCGCAAGGGAGCCGGUGAGAAGGUGCUGCAUGGCUGUCGU
RNAcentral lists this ribosomal RNA (262 nucleotides) under uncultured bacterium. RNAcentral's name for it is "partial 16S ribosomal RNA". It matches the Rfam family "Bacterial small subunit ribosomal RNA", at positions 793 to 1055 of the family's 1533-position model. The record is from RNAcentral.